RNAcentral lists this ribosomal RNA (466 nucleotides) under uncultured bacterium. RNAcentral's name for it is "partial 16S ribosomal RNA". It matches the Rfam family "Bacterial small subunit ribosomal RNA", at positions 28 to 507 of the family's 1533-position model. The record is from RNAcentral.
GAUGAACGCUGGCGGCGUGCUUAACACAUGCAAGUCGAACGAUGAAGCCCAGCUUGCUGGGUGGAUUAGUGGCGAACGGGUGAGUAACACGUGAGUAACCUGCCCUUAACUCGGGGAUAAGCCUGGGAAACUGGGUCUAAUACCGGAUAGGAGCGUCCACCGCAUGGUGGGUGUUGGAAAGAUUUAUCGGUUUUGGAUGGACUCGCGGCCUAUCAGCUUGUUGGCGGGGUAAUGGCUCACCAAGGCGACGACGGGUAGCCGGCCUGAGAGGGUGACCGGCCACACUGGGACUGAGACACGGCCCAGACUCCUACGGGAGGCAGCAGUGGGGAAUAUUGCACAAUGGGCGCAAGCCUGAUGCAGCGACGCCGCGUGAGGGAUGACGGCCUUCGGGUUGUAAACCUCUUUCAGUAGGGAAGAAGCGAAAGUGACGGUACCUGCAGAAGAAGCACCGGCUAACUACGUG